CGGGAUGUAGCGCAGCUUGGUAGCGCACCUCGUUCGGGACGAGGGGGUCGUGGGUUCAAAUCCCGCCAUCCCGACCA
Molecule: transfer RNA, 77 nt
Filed under: Frankiales bacterium
Lineage: Bacteria; Bacillati; Actinomycetota; Actinomycetes; Frankiales
Also listed under: 3 other names
Description: tRNA-Pro
Rfam family: tRNA
About the family: Transfer RNA (tRNA) molecules are approximately 80 nucleotides in length. Their secondary structure includes four short double-helical elements and three loops (D, anti-codon, and T loops). Further hydrogen bonds mediate the characteristic L-shaped molecular structure. tRNAs have two regions of fundamental functional importance: the anti-codon, which is responsible for specific mRNA codon recognition, and the 3' end, to which the tRNAs corresponding amino acid is attached (by aminoacyl-tRNA synthetases). tRNAs cope with the degeneracy of the genetic code in two manners: having more than one tRNA (with a specific anti-codon) for a particular amino acid; and 'wobble' base-pairing, i.e. permitting non-standard base-pairing at the 3rd anti-codon position.
Source: RNAcentral